This 3122-nucleotide ribosomal RNA is filed under the name Candidatus Saccharimonadota bacterium. RNAcentral describes it as "23S ribosomal RNA". It matches the Rfam family "Bacterial large subunit ribosomal RNA". Lineage: Bacteria; Candidatus Saccharimonadota. The record is from RNAcentral.
AAAGUUACUCAAGCGCACAUAGAGGAUGCCUUGACGCAAAAUACCGACGAAGGACGCGGCAGUCUGCGAUAAGCUUCGGGGAGCUGGCAAGCAAGCUUUGAACCGAAGAUGUCCGAAUGGGGAAACCCAGCCGGGGUAAUGCCCGGUUAUCCAUGCCUGAACACAUAGGGCAUGAGAAGGUAAGCUCCCGAACUGAAACAUCUUAGUAGGGAGAGGAAAAGAAAAUAACCAAUGAUUCCGAAAGUAGUGGCGAGCGAAAUCGGAACAGCCCAAACCUUGAAGGUUUUUGCCUGUCAAUCCGCGGAUUUUCAAUCGGCGGGGAGAGGGGCGAAUACGGUUGACAGGCCAAUGCCUUUGCAAGGGGUUGUAAGGUACAAAUGUUCAGAUCAGGCAGCGAACGGCGACGUUUGCUACUGGAUUUGCAAGACGACUGCUGUCAGAGUCGUCAUAAAGUCAGAAAUUUGAAGCCCGAGCAGAACCGUUUGGAAAGACGGACCACAGAGAGUGAUAGUCUCGUAUGUGAAGGGUUUCAAACUUUAUUAUUUGUAUUCUUGAGUAGGGCGGGGCACGAGAAACCCUGUCUGAAUCCGGGAGGACCACCUUCCAAGGCUAAAUAUAUUUUGCGAUCGAUAGUGGACAAGUACCGUGAGGGAAAGGUGAAAAGAACCCCUGGCAGGGGAGUGAAAUAGACCUGAAACUGUGUGCGUACAAGGAGUCGGAGCCCUUCGGGGUGACGGCGUGCUUUUUGCAGAACGAUCCAGCGAGUUACCGUACGACAGCGAGCUUAAGCCAAUUGAGGCGGAGGCGCAGUGAAAGCGAGGCUUAAACGGCCGAUUUAGUUGCGUGCGGUAGACCCGAAACCGGGUGAGCUAUCCAUGGGCAGGCUGAAGCGCAGGUGAAACUGCGUGGAGGGCCGCACCAGUACGUACAGCGUUUGGAUGACCUGUGGAUAGGGGUGAAAAGCCAACCGAACCCGGAGAUAGCUGGUUCUCCUCGAAAUAGCUUUAGGGCUAGCGUCAUGUCGUAGCCAUUGGGGGUAGAGCUCUGUUUUGGAACGGGGCCCUCGCGGGUACCCUUCCUUGAUAAACUACGAAUACCAAUGGUGUAAUCAUGGCAGUUAGAACAUCGGCGCUAAGGUCGAUGCUCGAAAGGGAAACAGCCCAGACCAACAGUUAAGGUCCCUAAAUGCAUGCUAAGUGGGAAACGAGGUUAGAUUUCAUAAACAGCGAGGAUGUUGGCUUAGAAGCAGCCAUUCAUUUAAAGAGUGCGUAACAGCUCACUCGUCAAGAGAUCUUGCGCGGAAAAUGUAACGGGGCUCAAGCAUGCUACCGAAACUUUGGAUUUCCAUACUUAAGUUUGGGAGUGGUAGAGGAGCGUUCCUAUCGGCGUUGAAGCCGAAUCGUGAGGUUCGGUGGAGCGGUGGGAAGUGAGAAUGCUGGAAUGAGUAACAGAUCAGGCGGGUGAGAAUCCCGCCCACCGAAAGAGCGAGGUUUCCUGGGCCAUGGUUAUCAACCCAGGGUUAGUCGGGCCUAAGCCGAGGCGAAUAGCGUAGGCGAUGGACAUCAGGUUAAUAUUCCUGAACCGGCGGCAAUCUUGCAGGUAAUGCGCAACCUGGUAGCGCGGGCAGGCUGAUGGUAUGUCUGUCUAAGCGUCUAGGCCGGCCGGUUUUCGGACCGAUCCGGCUGAAGCGCGAAUGGGACUGUCCGUUCGGACGGGACCCGCGUGAGCCAAGUUGACCAGAAAAGUUUACCUGUGCCAAAUUGCUGUCCGCCCGUACCGCAGACCGAUAAGGUGCUCGGGUCGAGCAGACCAAGGUGAAACGAGAGAACCUUUGCUAAGGAACUCGGCAAUACAGCGUCCGUAACUUCGGGAUAAGGACUGCCCCGUGCGGUGCGCUCCGGGAGGGAGGCGAAAGCUUCCUUCCCAGAACGUGCCGCGUGGGGCCGCAGCGAAAGAACCCAUACGACUGUUUAUCAAAAACACAGGUCUCUGCUAACACGAAAGUGGAUGUAUAGGGGCUGACGCCUGCCCGGUGCCGGAAGGUUAAGGGGAGGACUUAACGGUCUGAACUGAAGCCCCGGUGAACGGCGGCGGUAACUAUAACCGUCCUAAGGUAGCGAAAUUCCUUGUCGGGUAAGUUCCGACCCGCACGAAUGGCGUAACGAUAUGGGUACUGUCUCAGCAAAGGACUCGGUGAAAGUGCAUUGGCGGUAAAGAUGCCGUCUGUCCGCACCAGGACGAGAAGACCCCGUGGAGCUUUACUACAGCUUGAUAUUGAACCGGAUGCAUUCACGUGUAGCAUAGGUGGGAGACUUGGAAACCGAGACGCUAGUCUUGGCGGAGUCGCCAGUGAAAUACCACCCUUGGAUGUGUCUUGUUCUCACACCUGGUCCUCAAGUUGGAGAUUAUUCCUAGUCUCCAGCUUCAGGAUCAGGGACAGUGUCUGGCGGGUAGUUUAACUGGGGCGGUUGCCUCCUAAAGAGUAGCGGAGGCGUUCCAAGGUCGGCUAGCUUCGGAUGGAAAUCGAAGUGGUAGUGCAAACGCAGAAGCCGGCUUGACUGUGAGGCUUACAGGCCAAUCAGGUACGAAAGUAGGAGUUAGUGGUCCGCUGUACGAAUUGACAUUUGUUAAUUAAUGAGUGUGGGAUCGACAGCGCAAACGGAUAAAAGUUACCCCGGGGAUAACAGGCUAAUCACGCCCAAUAGUUCACAUAGACGGCGUGGUUUGGCACCUCGAUGUCGGCUCAUCACAUCCUGGGGCUGGAGAAGGUCCCAAGGGUUCGGCUGUUCGCCGAUUAAAGUGGUACGCGAGCUGGGUUCAGAACGUCGUGAGACAGUUUGGUCGUUAUCCGGUGUGGACGAUAAGAAACGUGAGAGAAGUUGCCCCUAGUACGAGAGGACCGGGGUGAACGCACCUCUGGUGUACGGGUUGUGGCGCCAGCCGCAUCGCCCGGUAGCUAUGUGCGGCCGUGAUAAGCGCUGAAAGCAUAUUAAGCGCGAAGCCGACCUCAAGAUAACGUUUCUCUAUGAGGACCCUGAAAGACGAUCAGGUUGAUAGGUGCAAGGUGUAAGCGCGGCAACGCGUUCAGCCGAAGCAUACUAACAGUCCCAUCGACUUUUUGU